UCAUGAUUUACAUGUGAAAUGUCGUAAACAUGUGCAUUCCUGUGAAAAAUGCGUUUCAGUGAUAACUCGAUUAUAAUUUAGUAUUUGAGAGAGAAUGGGGGCAUGCAGGUAUGAUAAAAACACGACAGGUUAAUGCCUAACAUAUUAAAUAUGUAAGGUUCAGCACGAAUAAAAAUAAUUGCUCAGAAAGUAUUGAUGUUAAUUUAUUCCAGGCCUACAAAACGAUAGAGCACAUUCCUAUGGAAGACGUACGAG
Long non-coding RNA from Dreissena polymorpha, 255 nucleotides. RefSeq lists it as uncharacterized. NCBI's taxonomy places the organism in Eukaryota, Metazoa, Mollusca, Bivalvia, Myida, Dreissenidae. The transcript has 3 exons. The record is from RefSeq and is a predicted model, not a curated record.